This 74-nucleotide transfer RNA is filed under the name Vaccinium macrocarpon (large cranberry). RNAcentral's name for it is "tRNA-His". It matches the Rfam family "tRNA". From Rfam's summary of the family: Transfer RNA (tRNA) molecules are approximately 80 nucleotides in length. Lineage: Eukaryota; Viridiplantae; Streptophyta; Magnoliopsida; Ericales; Ericaceae. RNAcentral also lists the same sequence under 22 other names. The record is from RNAcentral.
GCGGAUGUAGCCAAGUGGAUUAAGGCAGUGGAUUGUGAAUUCACCACGCGCGGGUUCGAUUCCCGUCGUUCGCC